GCCGGAUGAGGUGGUGUGUGCCUGUAGUCCCAGCUAUUUGGGAGGCUGAGGCAGGAGGAUCGCUUGAGGCCAGGAGUUCUGGGCUGUAGUGCGCUAUGCUAAUCGGGUGUCUGCACUAAGUUCAGCAUCAGUAUGGUGACCUCCUGGGAGCGGGGGACCACCAGGUUGCCUAAGGAGGGGUGAACUGGCCCAGGUCGGAAAUGGAGCAGGUCAAAACUCCCAUGCUGAUCAGUCGUGGGAUCACAUCUGAGAAUUGCCACUGCACUCCAGCCUGGGCAACAUAGCGAGACCCCAUCUCU
This 299-nucleotide signal recognition particle RNA is filed under the name Prolemur simus (greater bamboo lemur). RNAcentral describes it as "Metazoan signal recognition particle RNA (ENSPSMG00000016938.1)". It matches the Rfam family "Metazoan signal recognition particle RNA". From Rfam's summary of the family: The signal recognition particle (SRP) is a universally conserved ribonucleoprotein. The record is from RNAcentral. Lineage: Eukaryota; Metazoa; Chordata; Mammalia; Primates; Lemuridae.